This 497-nucleotide ribosomal RNA is filed under the name uncultured bacterium. Its description in RNAcentral is "partial 16S ribosomal RNA". It matches the Rfam family "Bacterial small subunit ribosomal RNA", at positions 28 to 507 of the family's 1533-position model. The record is from RNAcentral.
GAUGAACGCUGGCGGCGUGCCUAAUACAUGCAAGUCGAGCGAACAGACGAGGAGCUUGCUCCUCUGACGUUAGCCGCGGGCGGGUGAGUAACACGUGGAUAACCUACCUAUAAUACUGAUAUAACUUCGGGAAACCGGAGCUAAUACCGGAUAAUAUAUUGAACCGCAUGGUUCAAUAGUGAAAGACGGUUUUGCGGUCACUUAUAGAUGGAUCCGCGCCGCAUUAGCUAGUUGGUCAGGUAACGGCCUACCAAGGGAACGAUGCGUAGCCGAACUGAGAGGGUGGUCGGCCACACGGGAACGGAGACACGGACCAGAGUCCUGAGGGAGGCAGCAGUAGGGAAUCUGACGCAAUGGGCGAAAGUCUGACGGAGUAACGCCGAGUGAGUUACGAAGGCCUUCGGAUCGUAAAACUCUGUUAUUAGGUAAGAACAAAUGUGUAAGGAACUAUGGACGUAUUGACGGUAACUAAUCAGAAAGCAACGGCUAACUACGUG